AAGUCGUAACAAGGUUUCCGUAGGUGAACCUGCGGAAGGAUCAUUAACGUGGGGCUCCGGCCCUGUCGUGAUAGAACCCUUGCCUUUUGAGUACCGUCCGUUUCCUCGGCAGGCCCGCCUGCCAAUGGGGACCCCAAUAAACCCUUUUUAUGUACCUGUAUCAGUCUGAAAAACAAACAAAAAGUUAAAACUUUCAACAACGGAUCUCUUGGUUCUG
RNAcentral lists this unclassified non-coding RNA (217 nucleotides) under Preussia sp. (in: ascomycete fungi). RNAcentral describes it as "partial contains small subunit ribosomal RNA, internal transcribed spacer 1, and 5.8S ribosomal RNA". The stretch from base 1 to 46 matches the Rfam family "Eukaryotic small subunit ribosomal RNA", at positions 1786 to 1831 of the family's 1831-position model. Lineage: Eukaryota; Fungi; Ascomycota; Dothideomycetes; Pleosporales; Sporormiaceae. The record is from RNAcentral. RNAcentral also lists the same sequence under 1 other name.